CCUACGUGUGGCAGCAGUGAGGAAUAUUGGUCAAUGGGCGCGAGCCUGAACCAGCCAAGUAGCGUGAAGGAUGACUGCCCUACGGAUUGUAAACUUCUUUUAUAAAGGAAUAAAGUGAGGCACGUGUGCCUUUUUGUAUGUACUUUAUGAAUAAGGAUCGGCUAACUCCGUGCCAGCAGCCGCGGUAAUACGGAGGAUCCGAGCGUUGUCCGGAUUUAUUGGGUUUAAAGGGAGCGUAGAUGGGUUGUUAAGUCAGGUGUGAAAGUUUGCGGCUCAACCGUAAAAUUGCAAUUGAUACUGGCAGUCUUGAGUACAGUUGAGGUAGGCGGAAUUCGUGGUGUAGCGGUGAAAUGCUUAGAUAUCACGAAGAACCCCGAUUGCGAAGGCAGCUUACUAAACUGCCACUGACAUUGAUGCUCGAAAGUGUGGGUAUCAAACAGGAUUAGAUACCCGUGUAGUC
This 460-nucleotide ribosomal RNA is filed under the name uncultured bacterium. RNAcentral's name for it is "partial 16S ribosomal RNA". It matches the Rfam family "Bacterial small subunit ribosomal RNA", at positions 338 to 795 of the family's 1533-position model. The record is from RNAcentral.